ACAAAGGAUUAGUUCCAGCCUUAAUAUCAACUAUAUAUGAAAUUACACAUGCAAGUUUCCGCACUCCCGUGAGGACCUCCUUUAACUAUAAACAUAAAAAAGAGAUGGUAUCAGGCUCACAAUAAGUUAGCCCACAACACCUAGCCACCCACACCCUCAAGGGUACUCAGCAGUGAUAAACCUUAAGCUAUGGACGCAAGCCCGACUAAGUUACGUAUUUUAGAGCUGGUAAACCUCGUGCCAGCCACCGCGGUUAUACGAGGAGCUCAAGCUGAUAUCUCCGGCACAAAGCGUGAUUAAAAUACUAGCUUAACUAAUACUAUAGAAGCCAUCAUGCCUGCUAGUUGAAUAGGUAUGCUUAAAUAUCUCAACAUCGAAAGAAUCUAUAUUAAUAAACUCACUUUGACAUCACGAAAGCAAAACUCACAAACCGGGAUUAGAUACCCCGCUAUGCCUGCCAUAAAUAAACCACCGUCGCCAGGGCACUACGAACAAUCGUUUAAAACCCAAAGAACUUGACGGCACCCUAAACCCACCUAGAGGAGCCUGUCCUAUAACCCGAUACCCCACGUUUUAACCCCGCCGCCUCUCGCCCCCAGUCUAUAUACCGCCGUCGCCAGCCAACCUUAUAAAAGAAUAACCGUAGGCAAAGAAGCUAUCUAUGCAAAUACGUCAGGUCGAGGUGCAGCCUAUGAGGCAGGCAGAGAUGGGCUACACUCUCUCCCCAGAGUAUACGAAUAACUUAAUGAAAUAAUUUUGAAGGUGGAUUUAGCAGUAAACAAGAAUAGUUUGUCUAGUUGAAGUUGGCCACUAGGGUGCGUACACACCGCCCGUCACUCUCCCACACCCCUCCCGGAGAAAAGUCGUAACAUGGUAAGCGUACCGGAAGGUGCGCUUGGAAAA
Molecule: non-coding RNA, 903 nt
Filed under: Lampetra fluviatilis (European river lamprey)
Lineage: Eukaryota; Metazoa; Chordata; Hyperoartia; Petromyzontiformes; Petromyzontidae
Source: RNAcentral